RNAcentral lists this ribosomal RNA (417 nucleotides) under uncultured soil bacterium. Its description in RNAcentral is "bacterial SSU rRNA". It matches the Rfam family "Bacterial small subunit ribosomal RNA", at positions 26 to 435 of the family's 1533-position model. The record is from RNAcentral.
AGGACGAACGCUGGCGGCGUGCUUAACACAUGCAAGUCGAGCGGAAAGGCCUUUCGGGGUACUCGAGCGGCGAACGGGUGAGUAACACGUGAGUAAUCUGCCCAUCGCUUCAGGAUAGCCAUCGGAAACGGUGAUUAAUACUGGAUAUGACAUUCCUUCGCAUGUUGGGGUGUGGAAAGUUUUUUCGGCGGUGGAUGUGCUCGCGGCCUAUCAGCUUGUUGGUGGGGUAAUGGCCUACCAAGGCUUUGACGGGUAGCCGGCCUGAGAGGGUGACCGGCCACACGUGGGACUGAGACACGGCCCAGACUCCGACGGAGGCAGCGAGGUGGGAAUAGUUGGACAAGUGGGCGGAAGCCUAGAUCCAGCAACGCCGGCGUGGAGGAUACGGACGGUCCGUUCGGGUUACGUAAACCCUUC